UCCCUGUCUCAGGGUUGCAUCUGGAGAGUAUCCAGUACUCUACCACUCAGACUACAGGAGGGAGAGUCAAGCAGAGGCAUACCCUUUCCAUUCCUAGCUUGGCCAGUGGCUAGUGAGUGGAAGGCAAUCUGCUACAAGU
This 139-nucleotide small nucleolar RNA is filed under the name Ornithorhynchus anatinus (platypus). Lineage: Eukaryota; Metazoa; Chordata; Mammalia; Monotremata; Ornithorhynchidae. The record is from RNAcentral.